CUACGGUGAAUACGUUCCCGGACCUUGUACACACCGCCCGUCAAGCCAUGGAAGCUGGGUGUACCUAAAGUCGAUAACCGUAAGGAGUCGCCUAGGGUAAAACUAGUAACUGGGCGU
RNAcentral lists this ribosomal RNA (117 nucleotides) under uncultured bacterium. RNAcentral describes it as "partial 16S ribosomal RNA". It matches the Rfam family "Bacterial small subunit ribosomal RNA", at positions 1357 to 1482 of the family's 1533-position model. The record is from RNAcentral.